GAUGAACGCUAGCUACAGGCUUAACACAUGCAAGUCGAGGGGCAGCAUGGUCUUAGCUUGCUAAGGCCGAUGGCGACCGGCGCACGGGUGAGUAACACGUAUCCAACCUGCCGUCUACUCUUGGACAGCCUUCUGAAAGGAAGAUUAAUACAAGAUGGCAUCAUGAGUUCACAUGUUCACAUGAUUAAAGGUAUUCCGGUAGACGAUGGGGAUGCGUUCCAUUAGAUAGUAGGCGGGGUAACGGCCCACCUAGUCUUCGAUGGAUAGGGGUUCUGAGAGGAAGGUCCCCCACAUUGGAACUGAGACACGGUCCAAACUCCUACGGGAGGCAGCAGUGAGGAAUAUUGGUCAAUGGGCGCAGGCCUGAACCAGCCAAGUAGCGUGAAGGAUGACUGCCCUAUGGGUUGUAAACUCCUUUUUAAUAAAGGAAUAAAGUCGGGUAUGUAUACCCGUUUGCAUGUACUUAUGAUAAGGAUCGGCUAACUCCGUGCCAG
Molecule: ribosomal RNA, 494 nt
Filed under: uncultured bacterium
Lineage: Bacteria
Description: bacterial SSU rRNA
Rfam family: Bacterial small subunit ribosomal RNA
Source: RNAcentral